UUGGGGAGGGCAGGCUGGCGGGACAGCCAGCCUGGCAGGGCGCGCGUUCUUUGGGAGCCAGCUCGGCUGCCUGUCUCCGGGCCCGGGUUCGUUGUAGCGGUUGCAAUAAUGCAAGUUUCCUGUGGGGCUCUUGACUUCUCAGAGUUGAAGGCGGCGAUUCGGGACGCGAGUUGCUCUUGGAGAGAGUUGAGAAAUACGGAUCGCUGUUCGUUCGCCCUCUUCCCCGUUUCAACACGCGGGCUGACACCUCGCCGCCCCGACGCUGGGCCCUUUGGCUAAACUAGGAUGGAAGGAAGGGGGCCUGUGGCAGAUCCCGGGAAACAGUUGGCCGUGCUUUUUAAACAGCUUUCUGCGUAGGAAAAGCUCAGUGACCCUCAGCCUUUUACUAGGUGCCCUUACCUUAAGAUCAGGUGCCCUCGCCAUAAUUAAGAUGAGGGGUAUGCUGGGGUUUCCGUCAGAGAACUACAAUUUAAACUGAAGCUGUUGAUGGCACUCCGGAUAAGUGCCAGGCUCCGGGAAGGUGAAAAGGACUGGCCAGCCCACGGAGAGGGCUUUUGACAGCAGUUUUCUUCCCAUUAGACCUCAGGACAGCCCUGUGGAGGAAUAGACGAUUAUCAGGACAGCCCAGGUGCCCCCACCUUUAUGUUUGGCUGCAGCUGUUUAGAUCUGACCAGCACCCAGUCGUGCCCCAUGAGUGCUCAGGAAAAUGAAAGGGGCAGCCUUAGCAAUUCCAACGCCAGUCACUUCCAGGUGCAAAACUGAGUCCCGAGGAGUUAUGUCCAAGGUCUUAGGCAUAACCUACAUCUCCAGCUCUCACUCAUCCUAAUCUCAAGCAAUUUCCCCCGAGGUUUGGUUUUUUUUUUUGUAGAAGCUCUAAGGGGGAAGUGUAGAGGGAGACUGCGCGUGUCUUUCCCAGGCAUGUCAUUUUACUUUUCUGAAACUCAAAUUCCUGAUGUGAAAAUUAAGAUAACAGCACUAACCUCAGUGACCCAGCAAUUCCAGCCCUAGGUAUAUACACUCACAAGAAUUAAAAGCAGGGACUUAAACAGAAACCUGCACAUCAACGUUCAUUGCAGCACUUUUCACACCAGCCAAAAGGCAGAAGCAGCUAAAGGCCCAUCAACAGAUGACUGGAUAAACAAAAUGUGGCGCAUCCAUGCAGUGGGGUAUUAAGCAGCCAUAAAGAGAAAUGAAGUCCAGAUUCACUACAGCAUGGACGAGCCUUGAGAAUAUUACGCUGAGUGGAAUUUACAGAAGAGCUGUAAAAUAGUACACAGAGUGAGAGUUCCCGUAUACGCCUCACCCAGCUUCCCCUGAGGCUAGCUGCCAUCCAGUCGGCUCUGACUCAUGGCAACCUUACAUAUAAUGGAACGAAAUGUUGCCUGGCCCCGCACCAUCUCCACCAUCACUGGGACCUCACAACAUGCUUUUUGGUGUUGAGAAUUUUGUCCAAAAGUCCUGAUGUACAAGCCUCUUCUUCCUCUCUUGCUGUUGUCGCUGCAUUGCCAUCCCCCUGAUGAGCUCUGGGCAGGAAGGCUGCUCCCACGUCUGUGUCUGGGCCGGGGCACUGACACCCUACCUCUCCACCACCCUCCUGGGGCUGACAGAACAAGAUGUAAACGAGGUUACCAAGCCCGCGACACACUCCAGUGAGCGCCUGUGGAGCCCUGGCUGGGGUGUCUGGCUGAGGUCACGGUGACACAGACCUGUCUGGAGUAGGUGGCUCUGUUCCCUGCUCCAUGGUGUUCCAAAGACUCUCGCCAUGCCAGAUGCCGACUGGACACUGUGGUCUCUGCUCCUUAGAAAAUAACUUUAAGUGGAUCAGAACCGUCAUCUCAAAUGGGAGCUUCUCUGCGGAAGAGCCUGGCUUGGGUGCGAGGGUGCGUCAGAGUGAGCAUGUGUGAAGAAUAACAUUUGAAUAACAUUGCCUGAAAGAGACACCGUAACCGAUGACAAAACUCUGAAAUCAGACUAUGAUUUCCAUCUGUUUACACUAAAAUGGUACUCUACUUUCAAGGCCAAAAUACUGCUAUAAACUUGGAUAUCAUGUCCCCUAAAUGUCCCAAAAGGAACCCUGAUGGUGCAGUGGUUAAGAGCUUGGCUGCUAACCAAAAGGUGUGCAGUCUGAACCCACCAGCCACUCCCACAGGAGAAAAGACCUGGCAGCCUGCUCUCGUAAAGAUCACGGCCUGGGAAACCCCAUGGAACAGUUUUACUUUGUCCUGUAGGUCGCUAUGAUUUGGAUUCGACUCCGCAGCAACAGAUGUUUUUGUUUUUUAAAUGCCCUGAGAGUGGGGAGCUGGCCCCUGUUUAGGCCUACUAUGUGUUUCUAUGCUCAGUGGAGUGUGUGGUAUGUGUGUACAGGUGAAUCCUACCCAGCAGGCGCACAGUGUGGUUUCUGGUCCAGGUGCAGUGCAGCCAGGGCCUAUGGGUGCUUUCUGUGUUCUUGUUUGCAGUUGCCACCGGCGUUAAGCAUGGUCGGCGAUGCUCUUCGUAACGGCUGCACACAGCUGCUUAGGUGUUUUGCUAAUGAGAAGGCACAACCAGGGGCUUUCAGGAGCCCAGCACCCCUUGCACCUCCUCCCCAGCUAACAACUGGCAGUGAGGACUCACGUUUGGCCACAUUAGGCCAAGCUGUGGGAGGUACUUCCAGAGAAGGGAAGGGAAUAGGCUAAAUAACCGUCACUUCCAGGCUUCUGGCUGAGGCUGUCUCUGUCCCCAGAGACCACACCACCCUCUGGGUCCAGAGGCAGAUGGACCAGGGUAUCCAGCCACACUGACAUCAGCUGCCAGUGUUUUUCUUGCCUCUACCCACUUUUCUGUUUCAGAAACAGUAGAACAUACAGCUUUGUGAAUUCCAUGGCUUACCAUUUUAAUGCCUACAAAUUCAAAGAUUAUAGAGUAAGGAUACGGAAGUAUAAGGAAAGCAGCGCCUCUUGGGGGGAAAAAGACAAAACACAAAGUCCUUUGUGCUACCAAUAUUCCUUAUACUUCACGGACCAUAUGAUCUUGUCCGGAAUCUUCUGAAAUGGUUAAGCCAAGAAUUUGAGUCGUGAAUACUUCUGCUGUGAUUUCGUCCGGGAGUGCUUCUUCAAGGCAAAUUUCUGCACCUAGACAAACAAGAUAAGAAAACCAAAUGCCUUCACAACCAUUAGCUUUCUAACUCAGACACACUUUCUAAAAACACAAGGAAAUAAUACUAAAAGAGUGAAAGGUGUUUUGUGCUAUUGUUUGGUUUUGACGCCUUACAAACCCUUGGGUAGAAAUCGGUUAAAAUCCUUCCUUCACUGAAUUGAGGCCGUUAACCAAAUCUUUGCAAACCGCGUUGGAAAGUUUUCGCUGUUGCUGUUGUCAGCUGCCAUCAAGUCGGCCCCUGGCUCACAGUGUCCCGGUGCACAAAGGAACAAAAUGCCACCCUGUCCUCCACCAUCCCCAUGAUCGGCUGCAUAUUGGACUGCUGCGAUCCAUUUGGUUUUCAAGAUUUUCAGAAGUCAAUCACCAGGCCUUUCUUCCUAGUCUGUCUCAAUCUGGAAGCUCUCCUGAAACCUGUUCAACAUCAUAGCAACAUGCAAGCCUCUGCCGAUGGACAGUGCACUGGCCGAGAACUGAACCUGGGUUUCCCACGUAGAAGUGACUAAGGAAGAAGGUGGGAGUGCUCAGGCUCCAGCCAGACGAGAGAGGAGGAGGAUCUCUAAAACCUUUACAGUUCUGACACUGUCCUUGUGCAGCCACCAUGUUUCCUUAUCCAGGUCCCUCUGGACCUAUGUCUUCUUCUGAAACAACUUCCAUAUGGUAUCCUCUGAUUGGGCCGAUAUUCACCCACCCAAACUGGAAAGAUGAAGACCAGGUCAGUGGACAAAAGGGAAAAGCAAGGCCGGAAGACACAAAGGAGGCAGUGAGCCCGGGAACAAAAGCUUUCGUCUCUCCGAUGUGACCACUGCUCCCUUGGUCUUUUCAUAACUCAUUCAUGUAGGAUUCUGUCAUGCACAUGGGAUUGAGGACAGCAUCUUGCACCCGUCAAGAGAGAGAAACGCACUUAAGUCUACAACAAAGGAGUGAGUCACGGCUACAUGCCCGGACAAAGCAGGCCACAGUACCUUUG
Loxodonta africana (African savanna elephant) is the source of this 4102-nucleotide long non-coding RNA. RefSeq lists it as uncharacterized. Lineage: Eukaryota; Metazoa; Chordata; Mammalia; Proboscidea; Elephantidae. The record is from RefSeq and is a predicted model, not a curated record. The transcript is spliced from 6 exons.